GAUGAACGCUGGCGGCGUGCCUAAUACAUGCAAGUCGAGCGAAUGGAUUAAGAGCUUGCUCUUAUGAAGUUAGCGGCGGACGGGUGAGUAACACGUGGGUAACCUGCCCAUAAGACUGGGAUAACUCCGGGAAACCGGGGCUAAUACCGGAUAACAUUUUGAACCGCAUGGUUCGAAAUUGAAAGGCGGCUUCGGCUGUCACUUAUGGAUGGACCCGCGUCGCAUUAGCUAGUUGGUGAGGUAACGGCUCACCAAGACAACGAAGCGUAGCCGACCUGAGAGGGUGAUCGGCCACACUGGGACUGAGACACGGCCCAGACUCCUACGGGAGGCAGCAGUAGGGAAUCUUCCGCAAUGGACGAAAGUCUGACGGAGCAACGCCGCGUGAGUGAUGAAGGCUUUCGGGUCGUAAAACUCUGUUGUUAGGGAAGAACAAGUGCUAGUUGAAUAAGCUGGCACCUUGACGGUACCUAACCAGAAAGCCACGGCUAACUACGUGCCAGCCGCCGCUGUAA
This 515-nucleotide ribosomal RNA is filed under the name uncultured bacterium. Its description in RNAcentral is "partial 16S ribosomal RNA". It matches the Rfam family "Bacterial small subunit ribosomal RNA", at positions 28 to 523 of the family's 1533-position model. The record is from RNAcentral.